CUACCAAGAUGGCAACACUUUCCAUCAACAGCAGUUCACCUAGAGAGAGUCAACACUUUUUGUCUGAGUAA
Pongo abelii (Sumatran orangutan) is the source of this 71-nucleotide small nucleolar RNA. The record is from Ensembl. NCBI's taxonomy places the organism in Eukaryota, Metazoa, Chordata, Mammalia, Primates, Hominidae.